AGCCUGUAGCACCAGUUGGCUUUCUUGAGGGGCCUGGUGGUCGGCCGGAGCCUGUCUUGGUGCAGGCAAGUGUUUAUAGUGGCACCACCUUUUCUUGGCUCAUGCUGUCCCCCGGAGCUCAUUCUUGAAUGACUUGGGCGGUUUUUCAAGAGUCCGGGUAGAUAGGUGGUCUUCAGGGCACCAUGUGGGUAGUCUUAGGCCACUCGCAGUGACUGAAAAAUCCCCGGUGGUAUCGGCGGAUUCAAGCCCGUGGCGUCCAGAACGCGGUGAGCGCAGGGCCCGCACGCUGACCACUCAGCCACCGCCUACCCAGUGAAUGAUCCGAGGCCUUAGAAGCUUGCCUGGGAUCAAACCUCUAGAAUUACACCCGAGUCAAGACGGUGGCUGGCUUGGGGGACUGUGGUGGAAAGGGUAGCCAAUAAUUUUGAAACUGUUUAUUUUUGGGCAAAAUAUGACACUUUUGUUAUGAGAUUCUUUACCUUCCAGAAAUCACCAAAUGACUGGCCCUUUCACUUGGCAGCGUCAACUCACCAUUCAGCCGCUGACCCCCAGUGACAGACUUCCGGGAGACUGGAAGGUAGUGGUGUCCACCAUGCUGGGAGGAGGACAGCGCUAAGUGACGGCACCCGCCUCUGUGUGUGUGUGUGUGUCCUGACGUCCACCGCUGGUGCUGAAGUGAGGGUCUGAGGUGGGCAGCACAGGGCCAGAAGACAGCCCCCGACUCUGUGUGUGUGUGUCCUGACGUCCACCGCUGGUGCUGAAGUGAGGGUCUAAGGUGGGCAGCACAGGGCCAGAAGACAGCCCCCAACUCUGUGUGUGUGUGUCCUGACGUCCACCGCUGGUGCUGAAGUGAGGGUCUGAGGUGGGCAGCACAGGGCCAGAAGACAGCACCCGACUCUGUGUGUGUGUGUGUCCUGACGUCCACCGCUGGUGCUGGUGCUGAAGUGAGGGUCUGAGACACUUGCUGUGCUCAGCACUCACUGUCCUUGCUCCUUGGUGCAUCCUUCCCUUCACCUGCUUGCUUGGUCCCUGAGUAGCGGUGAGGAAGACUUGCUGCCCCCUCGGCUGCAAGGCCGGGCAGCAGCCUGAGUGGCCAGGAGCAGCAGAGCAGACUGCCACUGGUGUGAGGAUCAGGGCGAUCAGAAGAACCACCACCACCACCCUGCUGCUGCUGCCUUCUCCAGCCAUAAGGAAAGGGAAAGUUUGAGUGGAAGGACUGUGAGGCAGUUUGGGACUGAGAGCAAGUUCAUCAGACACAGCCUUGCACACACUGCUGAGGGAAAGCAUGAGUAUCAGGAGUGUGAGGAAAGACUCCCUGGGAAGGGUGACCUCAACAAAAGCACCCACGCACUCGGGUGAAAGAAAUCAUGAAUCUCAAGGUUGUAGGAAAAGAUUGGGUGGGAAGGAUCACCUCAACACACACACCCUUACACACACUGGAGGAAAAAAACAUGGAUGUGAAGUUUGUGGGAAAAGUUUCCAUCUGAAGGGUGACCUCAAGAGACACACUCUUACACACACUGGUGAAAGAAAACAUAAAUGUGAAGUUUGUGGGAAAAGAUUCACUCUGAAGGGUAACCUCAAGACACACACCCUUACACACACUGGUGAAAGGAACCAUAAAUGUGAAGUUUGUGGGAAAAGAUUCACUCUGAAGGUUGACCUCAAGAAACACAUCCUUACACACACUGGUGAAAGGAACCAUAAAUGUGAAGUUUGUGGGAAAAGAUUUAAUCGGAAGGAUAGCCUCCAGACACACACCCUUACACACACUGGUGAAAGAAACCAUAACUGUGAAGUUUGUGGGAAAAGCUUCACUCUGAAAGGUGACCUCAAGAAACACACCCUUACACACACUGGUGAAAGGAACCAUAAAUGUGAAGUUUGUGGGAAAAGCUUCACUCUGAAAGGUGACCUCAAGAAACACAC
Molecule: long non-coding RNA, 1929 nt
Organism: Eriocheir sinensis (Chinese mitten crab)
Lineage: Eukaryota; Metazoa; Arthropoda; Malacostraca; Decapoda; Varunidae
Exons: 3
Source: RefSeq, a predicted model, not a curated record